UUAGUGCGGGCCAGCCGUGUCAUCGCCAGCUCCAAGCCAGGAAGCAAACAAUUCGCUCAACAAACAGAACAUCUAAGGAGGAAUAAAAAGAAAACAGCCACUGUCCCCUCACACCUCCAGAGCAUCCUGCAGCCCAGGACCGGGAAAUGUGACCCAGCAGGAGCCACACUGAGACCAGGACUGAAGUGGAGAAUAGAAUGUGUCAGCAAAAAGACCACCGAGAGCUUCCUCUGGACUGUCCUAACAACAUCCUGUGUACCACCACAUUUAAUUUUCAUAACCACUUUACAAGACACGUGAUGAUUCUCAUCGUAGGGGAGGAAACCAGGACUCGAAGAAAUUCAAUAACUCACUACCAUCAUGGAUUUGCACCCAAAUCUUUCUGACUUCAGAACCCACGCCCAAGUCCCUUUCUGGUGGGUGCUUCUAAAGAGUAAGAAACACAGGCCCAGACAGUAAGAAAUACUGCUUCUCGGAGAGCUGCCCGAACUCACCAAGGAAGAGAGAGUCAAAAAUAACUGGCUUCAGCAGUUCAGAGGAUGGAGGCGUCGGAGCAAAGCCCAAGAUGGUUAGAGGCAAGGGGGGAGCAAAUGAAAAGCGGCCCCUCUCCUGUACAGUCGCAGUAAUUUGAACGGCUUGCAGUGGAUUCCAUGGAGAACCCCGUGGCAUUUAGCCAUCUUGUCUCCUCGGUUGCUGGUCUGAGAGUUUCUCAACCUUUCCUUGUUUUUCAUCUCCUUGGCAGUUUUAAAGGGUACUGGUCAGGCCUUUUGUAUCAUGUCCCUCAGUUUGAUAUUUUCUGAUGUUUUCCUCAUAUUUAGACUGGGGUUAUGGGUUCUGGGAAAGACUACCACCGAGCUGAAUUGCCCUGCUCAUCCCAUCCUAUCAGGGGGCACAUUAUAUCCAUGUGACCUAUCACUGGUGAGGUUGACCUUCAUCACUUGGUGAAGGCAGGUGGUGUUUGUCAAGUUUCUCUUUUGUAAAGUCACUCUUUUUUUUUUCCCCUUUCCAUAUUCUGUUCUUUGGAAGCCCGGGGCUUAGUUCAGCAGAGACCGGGGGUGGGAGCUGGGAGGAAUUAAGCUCCAUCUCUAGGAGGGAAAAACAUCUACCUAUAUUCUUUGCCUUAUACUUUUUAAGAAAUAAUUUUAGAUGGAACUUUCUCAAUUUUAUUAUAAAAUCCUCUGCCUUCUUAAACAGAUUACUUUGAGCAUCAUUUGACAUUUUCAUGAUGACUUCCCACCGUAAGCAAACUUUAGCCCUCCAAAUUUUGUGAACCUUUCCCAGUUCUUCACUCUCCUUGAAUCUCUGUAGAAGCUGACACCGUGGUCUACUCUCUCUUAUGUAACGCCUCCCCCCAUCGCCCUACCAUCCUUCUCUUCUGCUUUCUCUUCCUCCUUAACUCAUCACCACUCCAUUUCCAUCUCCAUUUCAGUCUCAAUCUCUGUUCUUUCCUCCCUCCCUCCCUCCUUCCUCCCCACCAUAUGUACUGCCCCGGCUCCAAUGGACCUCACCUCUCCUUUCUGCCCAGUGUUCCCCUUAUCAGUCCCAUAUGCUUUACAUGGCUCAAUGAUGAUCAUCGUUCAGAUAACUCUAGGUCCGUAUCUCUUCUCAUCCGCCCAUCUCUAUGGCAACGAUGCCUCCCUCUCAACUCUCCCCGCUAACUCCUCAGCCCUUUUCUGCACUAUCUCAACCUCAUCCUCUCGAUUAGUGAGGACACUGCCUCAGCAGCUGCCUUAACAUAACAUAAGCGAACACAACAGUGGCCUAAAUAAUCCACAAAGUUUAUUUCUCUCUUAUGCAAAUAUCUGAGCUGGUAGAGGUCCUGGGGGCUGGGCUGGGGUCAAGUCUUUUAGAGUUCCCUGAUGUCCCCAUGCUACUGCCUGGGAUGUGGCCCUUGCCCGCUUGGUAGAAGUUGCCUCUGUACACGUUCCUUAAAGACCUUUGGGAACCAUAACAAAUAGAAAACAUGUAGCUUUUAUUAAGGGACUGACCUCAAGGUGGCGGACAUUGCUCUGCUCACAUCCCAUUGGUCAGAACACGACCAUAUGGCAGCACCCAGGUCCAAGGAAACCCAGGAAAUGGUCUCCAACUGGGUGGCUAUCCAUGCAAUAAAAGGGAAAGUGAACCUUAGGAUAAUUGAUUAUCCUUUUGCCCUAUCUCCUGAUUCUUAUAACUCUGACCUGACCUAGCUCUCCUCUUAUCUUCUUAAUAUGUUAUUAUAUCGUUAAUAUUUAUAAAGGCUCAUCACAGUAACCAUGAUUAGAAACGUGGAUAUCUUUGAUAUUUCUCCGUAUUUCACCUUUACAACUUCCCUCAUGUUUAAGACUUCUUCUCCCUUCUUACUGACACUACACAGAUUCAAACGUUCCCUACCUCCCAUCUGAAGUCUUAUAAAAAUUUCAAAAUUUCUCUCCAGGCUUUCAAUUCCUCAUUCCUCCAAACCAUGUUCAGUAUGGCUGCUGAUUAAUCUUAGUCCACAGAGCUCAACUCCUCAGCCCUUUUCGUAAAUCCUCAGUGACUUCCUAUUGCCAACUCAAUAAAGUCCAAAUUCCUGACUCUGGCACCAAGGCUUCCACAAUCUAUCCCAGUCUCUGCCUCCACUCUCCCCAGCUUGUUCUGCACAUGUCUUCCCCUUCCUCGGCAAAUUCUGCCCCAGCUCCCAUUUCUGUUCCUUCAUCAUAAUAAAAGGAUAACAGUUAA
Molecule: non-coding RNA, 2697 nt
Organism: Ictidomys tridecemlineatus (thirteen-lined ground squirrel)
Lineage: Eukaryota; Metazoa; Chordata; Mammalia; Rodentia; Sciuridae
Source: RefSeq, a predicted model, not a curated record